CCCGUAACGAGCGCAACCCUUGUCCUUAGUUACCAGCACGUUAUGGUGGGCACUCUAAGGAGACUGCCGGGGACAAACCGGAGGAAGGUGGGGAUGACGUCAAGUCAUCAUGGCCCUUACGGCCUGGGCUACACACGUGCUACAAUGGUCGGUACAGAGGGUCGCCAAGCCGCGAGGUGGAGCUAAUCUCACAAAACCGAUCGUAGUCCGGAUCGCAGUCUGCAACUCGACU
RNAcentral lists this ribosomal RNA (232 nucleotides) under Pseudomonas putida. RNAcentral's name for it is "partial 16S ribosomal RNA". It matches the Rfam family "Bacterial small subunit ribosomal RNA", at positions 1086 to 1317 of the family's 1533-position model. The record is from RNAcentral. Lineage: Bacteria; Pseudomonadati; Pseudomonadota; Gammaproteobacteria; Pseudomonadales; Pseudomonadaceae.